GAUGAACGCUAGCGGGAGGCUUAAUACAUGCAAGUCGAGCGGCAAGUUUUGAUAGCAAUAUUGGAACCUAGAGCGGCGCACGGGUGAGUAACGCGUACAUGACCUGCCCUAUACUGGGGGAUAGUCUUGGGAAACUGAGAAUAAUCCCGCAUGUGAUUAGAAUGCUGCAUGGCAAAUUAAUUAAAGCUGAGGCGGUAUAGGAUGGGUGUGCGUCUGAUUAGCUAGUUGGUAGUGUAACGGACUACCAAGGCGAUGAUCAGUAGGGGCGUGAGAGCGUGACCCCCCACACGGGUACUGAGACACGGACCCGACUCCUACGGGAGGCAGCAGUAAGGAAUAUUGGUCAAUGGAGGGAACUCUGAACCAGCCAUCCCGCGUGAAGGAUGAAGGGGCUCUGCCUUGUAAACUUCUUUUGCAUGGGACGAAAAACUUAAUUUAUUAAGGACUGACGGUACCAUGAGAAUAAGCACCGGCUAACUCCGUGCCAGCAGCCGAC
Molecule: ribosomal RNA, 496 nt
Filed under: uncultured bacterium
Lineage: Bacteria
Description: bacterial SSU rRNA
Rfam family: Bacterial small subunit ribosomal RNA
Source: RNAcentral